AUAGCCAUGCAGGGCGAACCCGGGGAACUGAAAUAUCUAAGUACCCGGAGGAAAAGAAAUCAACCGAGAUUCCCUGAGUAGCGACGAGCGAACGGGGACUAGCCCAAAAGCACAUUGUGUUCUAGUCAAACGGCAUGGAAAGGCCGGCCAUAGAUGGUGAUAGCCCAGUCGACGAAAGGGCACUUUGUGUGAAAUUGAGUAAGGCGGGGCACGUGAAACCUUGUCUGAACAUGGGGGGACCAUCCUCCAAGGCUAAAUACUCCUGACUGACCGAUAGCGAACUAGUACCGUGAGGGAAAGGCGAAAAGAACCCCGGAGAGGGGAGUGAAAUAGACCCUGAAACCGUAUACGUACAAGCAGUGGAAGCCCGCAAGGGUGACUGCGUACCUUUUGUAUAAUGGGUCAGCGACUUACUGUCAGUGGCAAGCUUAACCGUAUAGGGGAGGCGAAGAGAAAUCGAGUCUGAAUAGGGCGCAUAGUCUCUGGCAGUAGACCCGAAACCGAGUGAUCUAUCCUUGGCCAGGUUGAAGGUGCGGUAACACGCACUGGAGGACCGAACCCACAUCUGUUGCAAUAGAUGGGGAUGAGCUGAGGAUAGGAGUGAAAGGCUAAACAAACUCGGAGAUAGCUGGUUCUCCUCGAAAGCUAUUUAGGUAGCGCCUCGGACGAAUCUUCCUGGGGGUAGAGCACUGUUAUGGCUAGGGGGUCAUCGCGACUUACCAAACCAUGGCAAACUCCGAAUACCAGGACAGACUAUCCGGGAGACACACGGCGGGUGCUAACGUCCGUCGUGAAAAGGGAAACAACCCAGACCCGCAGCUAAGGUCCCAAAGUCAUAGCUAAGUGGAAAACGAUGUGGAAAGGCAUAGACAGCCAGGAGGUUGGCUUAGAAGCAGCCAUCCUUUAAAGAAAGCGUAAUAGCUCACUGGUCGAGUCGGUCUGCGCGGAAGAUUUAACGGGGCUAAGCUAUGCACCGAAGCUCGGGGUGUGCACGCAAGUGCACGCGGUAGAGGAGCGUUCCGUAAGCCUGUGAAGGUGGAUUGUAAAGUCUGCUGGAGGUAUCGGAAGUGCGAAUGCUGACAUGAGUAACGAUAAUGGGGGUGAAAAGCCCCCACGCCGAAAGCCCAAGGUUUCCUCGCGCAACGUUCAUCGGCGCAGGGUGAGUCGGCCCCUAAGGCGAGGCAGAAAUGCGUAGUCGAUGGGAAGCUGGUUAAUAUUCCAGCACUUUUCUACAGUGCGAUGUGGGGACGGAGAAAGUUAGGUCUACCGGGCGUUGGUUGUCCCGGGGAAAGGCGGUAGGCAUGGAUCUUAGGCAAAUCCGGGAUCCUUUAUGCCGAGCACCGAGACGAGCCCUUUUGGGCGAAGUGACCGAUACUACGCUUCCAGGAAAAGCCACUAAGCUUCAGCUGUAGAAAAACCGUACCGUAAACCGACACUGGUAGGCAGGGUGAGAAUCCCAAGGCGCUUGAGAGAACUCGGGUGAAGGAACUAGGCAAAAUGGCACCGUAACUUCGGGAGAAGGUGCGCCC
RNAcentral lists this ribosomal RNA (1529 nucleotides) under Rhodanobacter denitrificans. Its description in RNAcentral is "bacterial LSU rRNA". It matches the Rfam family "Bacterial large subunit ribosomal RNA", at positions 166 to 1753 of the family's 2925-position model. The record is from RNAcentral. Lineage: Bacteria; Pseudomonadati; Pseudomonadota; Gammaproteobacteria; Lysobacterales; Rhodanobacteraceae.